GACGAACGCUGGCGGCGUGCUUAACACAUGCAAGUCGAACGGAAAGGCCCUGCUUUUGUGGGGUGCUCGAGUGGCGAACGGGUGAGUAACACGUGAGUAACCUGCCCUUGACUUUGGGAUAACUUCAGGAAACUGGGGCUAAUACCGGAUAGGAGCUCCUGCUGCAUGGUGGGGGUUGGAAAGUUUCGGCGGUUGGGGAUGGACUCGCGGCUUAUCAGCUUGUUGGUGGGGGAGUGGCUUACCAAGGCUUUGACGGGUAGCCGGCCUGGGAGGGUGACCGGCCACAUUGGGCCUGCGCUACGGCCCAGACUCCUACGGGGGGCAGCAGUGGGAAGUAUUGCACAAUGGGCGGAAGCCUGAUGCAGCAACGCCGCGUGCGUGAUGACGGCCUUCGGGUUGUAAACCGCUUUAGCCUGUGACGAAGCGUGAGUGACGGUAAUGGGUAAAGAAGCACCGGCUAACUACGUG
Molecule: ribosomal RNA, 468 nt
Filed under: uncultured bacterium
Lineage: Bacteria
Description: partial 16S ribosomal RNA
Rfam family: Bacterial small subunit ribosomal RNA
Source: RNAcentral